UGCAAGUAGAACGCACAGUUGAUACCGUAGCUUGCUACACCAUAGACUGUGAGUUGCGAACGGGUGAGUAACGCGUAGGUAACCUGCCUGGUAGCGGGGGAUAACUAUUGGAAACGAUAGCUAAUACCGCAUAAUAUUAAUUAUUGCAUGAUAAUUGAUUGAAAGGUGCAAUUGCACUACUACCAGAUGGACCUGCGUUGUAUUAGCUAGUAGGUGAGGUAACGGCUCACCUAGGCGACGAUACAUAGCCGACCUGAGAGGGUGAUCGGCCACACUGGGACUGAGACACGGCCCAGACUCCUACGGGAGGCAGCAGUAGGGAAUCUUCGGCAAUGGACGAAAGUCUGGCCGAGCAACGCCGCGUGAGUGAAGAAGGUUUUCGGAUCGUAAAGCUCUGUUGUAAGAGAAGAACGGGUGUGAGAGUGGAAAGUUCACACUGUGACGGUAUCUUACCAGAAAGGGACGGCUAACUACGUGCCAGCAGCCGCGGUAAUACGUAGGUCCCGAGCGUUGUCCGGAUUUAUUGGGCGUAAAGCGAGCGCAGGCGGUUAGAUAAGUCUGAAGUUAAAGGCUGUGGCUUAACCAUAGUACGCUUUGGAAACUGUUUAACUUGAGUGCAGAAGGGGAGAGUGGAAUUCCAUGUGUAGCGGUGAAAUGCGUAGAUAUAUGGAGGAACACCGGUGGCGAAAGCGGCUCUCUGGUCUGUAACUGACGCUGAGGCUCGAAAGCGUGGGGAGCGAACAGGAUUAGAUACCCUGGUAGUCCACGCCGUAAACGAUAAGUGCUAGGU
Molecule: ribosomal RNA, 790 nt
Filed under: uncultured Streptococcaceae bacterium
Lineage: Bacteria; Bacillati; Bacillota; Bacilli; Lactobacillales; Streptococcaceae
Description: SSU rRNA
Rfam family: Bacterial small subunit ribosomal RNA
Source: RNAcentral